This 406-nucleotide ribosomal RNA is filed under the name uncultured Acidimicrobiia bacterium. Its description in RNAcentral is "bacterial SSU rRNA". It matches the Rfam family "Bacterial small subunit ribosomal RNA", at positions 355 to 776 of the family's 1533-position model. Lineage: Bacteria; Bacillati; Actinomycetota; Acidimicrobiia. The record is from RNAcentral.
UGGGGAAUAUUGCGCAAUGGGCGAAAGCCUGACGCAGCAACGCCGCGUGAGGGAUGAAGGCCUUCGGGUUGUAAACCUCUUUCGAGCAGGGACGAUAAUGACGGUACCUGCAGAAGAAGCUCCGGCCAACUACGUGCCAGCAGCCGCGGUAAUACGUAGGGAGCGAGCGUUGUCCGGAUUCAUUGGGCGUAAAGAGCUCGUAGGCGGCUUGGUAAGUCGGAUGUGAAACCUCCAGGCUCAACCUGGAGUCGCCAUCCGAUACUGCCAUGGCUAGAGUCCGGUAGGGGCCCACGGAACUCCUGGUGUAGCGGUGAAAUGCGCAGAUAUCAGGAAGAACACCGGUGGCGAAGGCGGUGGGCUGGGCCGGCACUGACGCUGAGGAGCGAAAGCGUGGGGAGCGAACAGG